AAUGAACGCUGGCGGCAGGCCUAACACAUGCAAGUCGAACGGAUCCUUCGGGAUUAGUGGCGGACGGGUGAGUAACGCGUGGGAACAUACCCAAAGGUACGGAAUAGCCUCGGGAAACUGGGAGUAAUACCGUAUGUGCUCGAAAGAGGAAAGAUUUAUCGCCUUUGGAUUGGCCCGCGUCGGAUUAGGUAGUUGGUGGAGUAAUGGCCUACCAAGCCGACGAUCCAUAGCUGGUUUGAGAGGAUGAUCAGCCACACUGGGACUGAGACACGGCCCAGACUCCUACGGGAGGCAGCAGUGGGGAAUCUUAGACAAUGGGGGAAACCCUGAUCUAGCCAUGCCGCGUGAUCGAUGAAGGCCUUAGGGUUGUAAAGAUCUUUCAGGUGGGAAGAUAAUGACUGUACCACCAGAAGAAGCCCCGGCUAACUCCGUGCCAGCCGCCGCAGUAA
Molecule: ribosomal RNA, 449 nt
Filed under: uncultured bacterium
Lineage: Bacteria
Description: partial 16S ribosomal RNA
Rfam family: Bacterial small subunit ribosomal RNA
Source: RNAcentral